UAGACAUUAGUAAAAUACAUAUUACAUCACCUUGUCAAGGUGAAAUUGUGGGCUAUUGAUCCCCGCAUGUCUAA
Molecule: transfer RNA, 74 nt
Filed under: unidentified
Description: Enteromius cf. bifrenatus 'Kalungwishi' tRNA-Asp
Source: RNAcentral